UACGGGGGGGGCAAGCGUUGUUCGGAAUUACUGGGCGUAAAGGGCGCGUAGGUGGCCAUCUAAGUCAGACGUGAAAUCCCUCGGCUUAACCGGGGAACUGCGUCUGAUACUGGAUGGCUUGAGUGUGGGAGAGGGAUGCGGAAUUCCAGGUGUAGCGGUGAAAUGCGUAGAUAUCUGGAGGAACACCGGUGGCGAAGGCGGCAUCCUGGACCAUUACUGACACUGAAAAGCGAAAGCCAGGGGAGCAAACGGG
This 253-nucleotide ribosomal RNA is filed under the name uncultured bacterium. RNAcentral describes it as "partial 16S ribosomal RNA". It matches the Rfam family "Bacterial small subunit ribosomal RNA", at positions 524 to 776 of the family's 1533-position model. The record is from RNAcentral.